Molecule: ribosomal RNA, 462 nt
Filed under: uncultured bacterium
Lineage: Bacteria
Description: partial 16S ribosomal RNA
Rfam family: Bacterial small subunit ribosomal RNA
Source: RNAcentral
GACGAACGCUGGCGGCGUGCUUAACACAUGCAAGUCGAACGGAAAGGCCCUUCGGGGUACUCGAGUGGCGAACGGGUGAGUAACACGUGGGUGAUCUGCCCUGCACUUUGGGAUAAGCCUGGGAAACUGGGUCUAAUACCGAAUAGGACCACGCGCUUCAUGGUGUGUGGUGGAAAGCUUUUGCGGUGUGGGAUGGGCCCGCGGCCUAUCAGCUUGUUGGUGGGGUAAUGGCCUACCAAGGCGACGACGGGUAGCCGGCCUGAGAGGGUGACCGGCCACACUGGGACUGAGAUACGGCCCAGACUCCUACGGAAGGCAGCAGUGGGGAAUAUUGCACAAUGGGCGCAAGCCUGAUGCAGCGACGCCGCGUGAGGGAUGACGGCCUUCGGGUUGUAAACCUCUUUCACCAGGGACGAAGCGUAAGUGACGGUACCUGGAGAAGAAGCACCGGCCAACUACGUG